Molecule: transfer RNA, 72 nt
Filed under: Brevibacterium aurantiacum
Lineage: Bacteria; Bacillati; Actinomycetota; Actinomycetes; Micrococcales; Brevibacteriaceae
Description: tRNA-Lys
Source: RNAcentral
GUCGCUCGUGGCUGGUUUCAGAGUCGCGGUUCUUGACCGCGCCGAUCGUGUGCAUGCUCACGACGAUCCGCG